AUGAAGACCUUCCCCAUCAUUUCCCUCCUUGCCAUGGCGAUGACCAUAGCCACCGCCACCACCACCAUGCAGCUCGACCCUAGCGUCCAUGUGCUACAAAGGCCACAACAACCAUUUCUAGAGCAAGAGUUGAAUGCCUGCACGGAGUUUAUAUUGCAACAAUGCAGCCCCAUAUCAUCAAGUGAAUCGGGUUUGAGAGUAUUCCGGAAACAGAUUGUUGUCCUGUCACAAUUUGGCCUACGAAGCAGUGGUUGCGAGUUGAUGCAGCAACAAUGCUGUGAGCAGCUAGCACAGAUAUCUGAUCAAGACCGAUGCACAGCCAUCCAUAGCAUCGCACACGCCAUCAUCGUACAACAAGAACAACAACAACAACAACAGGUGGGUCAAGAUUUCCCACAGUCCCAACAACAACAACAACAACAACCGGGCCAGGGUACAGUUGUCCAGCCUCAACAACAACUUGGCCAGGGCUUCAUCCAACCUCAACAACUAGCUCAGCUCCAAUCGAUUAUGUCGUUGGUGCUACAAACCCUGCCAACGAUGUGUAAUGUGCAUGUCACACCUUAUUGCUCCAUGAUCACUACACCAGUUGGCAGCAUCAUUUUUGGUGAUGGCCAGUAA
RNAcentral lists this ribosomal RNA (621 nucleotides) under Triticum aestivum (bread wheat). RNAcentral describes it as "partial small subunit ribosomal RNA". Lineage: Eukaryota; Viridiplantae; Streptophyta; Magnoliopsida; Poales; Poaceae. The record is from RNAcentral.